CAUGUACGGGAGGCAGCAGUAGGGAAUCUUCCGCAAUGGACGCAAGUCUGACGGAGCAACGCCGCGUGAGUGAAGAAGGUUUUCGGAUCGUAAAACUCUGUUGUUAGAGAAGAACAAGUGCUAGAGUAACUGUUAGCACCUUGACGGUAUCUAACCAGAAAGCCACGGCUAACUGCGUGCCAGCAGCCGCGGUAAUCAUG
This 200-nucleotide ribosomal RNA is filed under the name uncultured bacterium. RNAcentral's name for it is "partial 16S ribosomal RNA". It matches the Rfam family "Bacterial small subunit ribosomal RNA", at positions 335 to 527 of the family's 1533-position model. The record is from RNAcentral.